This 498-nucleotide ribosomal RNA is filed under the name uncultured bacterium. Its description in RNAcentral is "bacterial SSU rRNA". It matches the Rfam family "Bacterial small subunit ribosomal RNA", at positions 501 to 1000 of the family's 1533-position model. The record is from RNAcentral.
CUACGUGCCAGCAGCCGCGGUAAUACGUAGGGUGCGAGCGUUAAUCGGAAUUACUGGGCGUAAAGCGCACGCAGGCGGUUGAUUGAGUCAGAUGUGAAAUCCCCGGGCUUAACCCGGGAAUUGCAUCUGAUACUGGGUCGCUAGAGUACUUUAGGGAGGGGUAGAAUUCCACGUGUAGCGGUGAAAUGCGUAGAGAUGUGGAGGAAUACCGAAGGCGAAGGCAGCCCCUUGGGAAUGUACUGACGCUCAUGUGCGAAAGCGUGGGGAGCAAACAGGAUUAGAUACCCUGGUAGUCCACGCUGUAAACGAUGUCGAUUUGGGGGCUGAACUUUAAGUUUGGCGCCCGUAGCUAACGUGAUAAAUCGACCGCCUGGGGAGUACGGCCGCAAGGUUAAAACUCAAAUGAAUUGACGGGGGCCCGCACAAGCGGUGGAGCAUGUGGUUUAAUUCGAUGCAACGCGAAGAACCUUACCUACUCUUGACAUCCAGAGAACAUUC